GCCGGGUUUGGUGGUGCACGCCUGUAUUCCCAGCGGCUUGGGAGGCUAAGACAGGAGGAUCAUGAGUUCAAAGCCAGCUUUAGCAAUGGCGAGGCACUAAGCAACUCAGCGAGACCCUGUCUCUA
Molecule: small RNA, 125 nt
Filed under: Marmota monax (woodchuck)
Lineage: Eukaryota; Metazoa; Chordata; Mammalia; Rodentia; Sciuridae
Source: RNAcentral